CCUACGGGAGGCAGCAGUAGGGAAUUUUCGUCAAUGGGCGCAAGCCUGAACGAGCGAUGCCGCGUGAGUGAAGAAGGCCUUCGGGUCGUAAAGCUCUGUUGCGGGGGAAAAACGGCAGCAUCAGGAAAUGGGUGCUGACUGAUGGUGCCCCGCCAGAAAGUCACGGCUAACUACGUGCCAGCAGCCGCGGUAAUACGUAGGUGGCGAGCGUUAUCCGGCAGGAUUGGGGGUAAAGGGUGCGCAGGCGGGCCUGCAAGUCUGGAGUGAAACGCAUGAGCGCAACUCAUGCAUGGCUUUGGAAACUGGAGGACUGGAGAGCAGGAGAGGGCGGUGGAACUCCAUGUGUAGCGGUAAAAUGCGUAGAUAUAUGGAAGAACACCAGUGGCGAAGGCGGCCGCCUGGCCUGUUGCUGACGCUGAGGCACGAAAGCGUGGGGAGCAAAUAGGAUUAGAUACCCCAGUUGUC
This 465-nucleotide ribosomal RNA is filed under the name uncultured bacterium. Its description in RNAcentral is "partial 16S ribosomal RNA". It matches the Rfam family "Bacterial small subunit ribosomal RNA", at positions 338 to 795 of the family's 1533-position model. The record is from RNAcentral.